UACGAAGGGGGCUAGCGUUGUUCGGAAUUACUGGGCGUAAAGCGCACGUAGGCGGAUAUUUAAGUCAGGGGUGAAAUCCCAGAGCUCAACUCUGGAACUGCCUUUGAUACUGGGUAUCUGGAGUAUGGAAGAGGUGAGUGGAAUUCCGAGUGUAGAGGUGAAAUUCGUAGAUAUUCGGAGGAACACCAGUGGCGAAGGCGGCUCACUGGUCCAUUACUGACGCUGAGGUGCGAAAGCGUGGGUAUCAAACAGG
RNAcentral lists this ribosomal RNA (253 nucleotides) under uncultured bacterium. RNAcentral describes it as "partial 16S ribosomal RNA". It matches the Rfam family "Bacterial small subunit ribosomal RNA", at positions 524 to 776 of the family's 1533-position model. The record is from RNAcentral.